This 402-nucleotide ribosomal RNA is filed under the name bacterium. RNAcentral describes it as "partial 16S ribosomal RNA". It matches the Rfam family "Bacterial small subunit ribosomal RNA", at positions 355 to 776 of the family's 1533-position model. The record is from RNAcentral.
UGGGGAAUUUUGCACAAUGGGGGAAACCCUGAUGCAGCGACGCCGCGUGAUUUAGAAGGCCUUCGGGUUGUAACAAUCUUUUCUAUGGGAAGAAAAUGACAGUACCAUAGGAAUAAGGACCGGCUAAUUACGUGCCAGCAGCCGCGGUACUACGUAAGGUCCGCGCGUUUUCCGGAAUCAUUGGGCGUAAAGGGUACGUAGGCGGGUAAGCAAGUUAGAAGUGAAAUCCUAUAGCUCAACUAUAGUAAGCUUUUAAAACUGCUCAUCUUGAGGUAUGGAAGGGAAAGUGGAAUUCCUAGUGUAGCGGUGAAAUGCGCAGAUAUUAGGAGGAAUACCGGUGGCGAAGGCGACUUUCUGGCCAGAACCUGACGCUGAGGUACGAAAGCGUGGGUAGCAAACAGG